GACGAACGCUGGCGGCGUGCUUAACACAUGCAAGUCGAACGGAAAGGCCCUGCUUUUGUGGGGUGCUCGAGUGGCGAACGGGUGAGUAACACGUGAGUAACCUGCCCUUGACUUUGGGAUAACUUCAGGAAACUGGGGCUAAUACCGGAUAGGAGCUCCUGCUGCAUGGUGGGGGUUGGAAAGUUUCGGCGGUUGGGGAUGGACUCGCGGCUUAUCAGCUUGUUGGUGGGGUAGUGGCUUACCAAGGCUUUGACGGGUAGCCGGCCGGAGAGGGUGACCGGCCACAAUGGGACUGAGAUACGGCCCAGACUCCUACGGGAGGCAGCAGUGGAGAAGAUUGCACAAUGGGCGGAAGCCUGAUGCAGCAACGCCGCGUGCGGGAUGACGGCCUUCGGGUUGUAAACCGCUUUCGCCUGUGACGAAGCGUGAGUGACGGUAAUGGGUAAAGAAGCACCGGCUAACUACGUG
RNAcentral lists this ribosomal RNA (468 nucleotides) under uncultured bacterium. RNAcentral describes it as "partial 16S ribosomal RNA". It matches the Rfam family "Bacterial small subunit ribosomal RNA", at positions 28 to 507 of the family's 1533-position model. The record is from RNAcentral.